UUCGGGACAACAGGUUGAUAUUCCUGUACCAGUUGCUUUUGUUUGAGCGAUGGAGGGACGCAGGAGGCUAAGGAAUGCACACGAUCGGAAAUGUGUGUCCAAGCAGCAAGUCUGAGAACGAGUGAAAUGCUUUUUCUCUCAAGGACAAGCUGUGAUGGGGAGCGAAAUUUAGUAGCGAAGUUCCUGAUGUCACACUGCCAAGAAAAGCUUCUAGUGAGAAAGUAACUGCCCGUACCGCAAACCGACACAGGUAGUUGAGGAGAGAAUCCUAAGGUGUGCGAGAGAACUCUCGUUAAGGAACUCGGCAAAAUGACCCCGUAACUUCGGGAGAAGGGGUGCUGACCGCAAGGUCAGCCGCAGUGAAUAGGCCCAAGCGACUGUUUAUCAAAAACACAGGUCUCUGCAGAAUCGAAAGAUGACGUAUAGGGGCUGACGCCUGCCCGGUGCUGGAAGGUUAAGAGGAGAGGUUAGCGCAAGCGAAGCUUUGAAUUGAAGCCCCAGUAAACGGCGGCCGUAACGAUAACGGUCCUAAGGUAGCGAAAUUCCUUGUCGGGUAAGUUCCGACCCGCACGAAAGGCGUAACGAUUUGGGCACUGUCUCAACGAGAGACUCGGUGAAAUUAUAGUACCAGUGAAGAUGCUGGUUACCCGCGACAGGACGGAAAGACCCCAUGGAGCUUUACUGCAGUUUGAUAUUGAGUGUUUGUAUCACAUGUACAGGAUAGGUAGGAGCCGAAGAUACCGGGACGCCAGUCUCGGAGGAGGCAACGGUGGGAUACUACCCUUGUGAUAUGACCACUCUAACCCGCUGCUCUUAGCGAGCAGGGAGACAGUGUCAGACGGGCAGUUUGACUGGGGCGGUCGCCUCCAAAAAUGUAACGGAGGCGCCCAAAGGUUCCCUCAGAAUGGUUGGAAAUCAUUCGUAGAGUGUAAAGGCAGAAGGGAGCUUGACUGCGAGACCUACAAGUCGAGCAGGGACGAAAGUCGGGCUUAGUGAUCCGGUGGUUCCGCAUGGAAGGGCCAUCGCUCAACGGAUAAAAGCUACCCUGGGGAUAACAGGCUUAUCUCCCCCAAGAGUUCACAUCGACGGGGAGGUUUGGCACCUCGAUGUCGGCUCAUCGCAUCCUGGGGCUGUAGUCGGUCCCAAGGGUUGGGCUGUUCGCCCAUUAAAGCGGUACGCGAGCUGGGUUCAGAACGUCGUGAGACAGUUCGGUCCCUAUCCGUCGCGGGCGUUGGAAAUUUGAGAGGAGCUGUCCUUAGUACGAGAGGACCGGGAUGGACACACCGCUGGUGUACCAGUUGUUCUGCCAAGAGCAUCGCUGGGUAGCUAUGUGUGGACGGGAUAAACGCUGAAAGCAUCUAAGCGUGAAGCCCCCCUCAAGAUGAGAUUUCCCAUCACUUUAAGUGAGUAAGACCCCUGAGAGAUGAUCAGGUAGAUAGGUUGGGAGUGGAAGUACAGCGAUGUAUGGAGCGGACCAAUACUAAUCGGUCGAGGACUUAACCU
RNAcentral lists this ribosomal RNA (1503 nucleotides) under metagenome. RNAcentral's name for it is "bacterial LSU rRNA". It matches the Rfam family "Bacterial large subunit ribosomal RNA", at positions 1414 to 2925 of the family's 2925-position model. The record is from RNAcentral.